RNAcentral lists this ribosomal RNA (906 nucleotides) under Boeremia coffeae. RNAcentral describes it as "LSU rRNA". It matches the Rfam family "Eukaryotic large subunit ribosomal RNA", at positions 38 to 962 of the family's 3401-position model. The record is from RNAcentral. Lineage: Eukaryota; Fungi; Ascomycota; Dothideomycetes; Pleosporales; Didymellaceae.
GCAUAUCAAUAAGCGGAGGAAAAGAAACCAACAGGGAUUGCCCUAGUAACGGCGAGUGAAGCGGCAACAGCUCAAAUUUGAAAUCUGGCGUCUUUGGCGUCCGAGUUGUAAUUUGCAGAGGGCGCUUUGGCAUUGGCAGCGGUCCAAGUUCCUUGGAACAGGACGUCACAGAGGGUGAGAAUCCCGUACGUGGUCGCUAGCCUUUACCGUGUAAAGCCCCUUCGACGAGUCGAGUUGUUUGGGAAUGCAGCUCUAAAUGGGAGGUAAAUUUCUUCUAAAGCUAAAUACUGGCCAGAGACCGAUAGCGCACAAGUAGAGUGAUCGAAAGAUGAAAAGCACUUUGGAAAGAGAGUUAAAAAGCACGUGAAAUUGUUGAAAGGGAAGCGCUUGCAGCCAGACUUGCCUGUAGUUGCUCAUCCGGGUUUUUACCCGGUGCACUCUUCUAUAGGCAGGCCAGCAUCAGUUUGGGCGGUUGGAUAAAGGUCUCUGUCACGUACCUCCUCUCGGGGAGAACUUAUAGGGGAGACGUAAUGCAACCAGCCUGGACUGAGGUCCGCGCAUCUGCUAGGAUGCUGGCGUAAUGGCUGUAAGCGGCCCGUCUUGAAACACGGACCAAGGAGUCUAACAUCUAUGCGAGUGUUUGGGUGUCAAGCCCGAGCGCGUAAUGAAAGUGAACGGAGGUGGGAACCUUUCGGGGUGCACCAUCGACCGAUCCUGAUGUCUUCGGAUGGAUUUGAGUAAGAGCAUAGCUGUUGGGACCCGAAAGAUGGUGAACUAUGCUUGAAUAGGGUGAAGCCAGAGGAAACUCUGGUGGAGGCUCGCAGCGGUUCUGACGUGCAAAUCGAUCGUCAAAUUUGGGCAUAGGGGCGAAAGACUAAUCGAACUAUCUAGUAGCUGGUUCCUGCG